RNAcentral lists this ribosomal RNA (493 nucleotides) under uncultured bacterium. Its description in RNAcentral is "bacterial SSU rRNA". It matches the Rfam family "Bacterial small subunit ribosomal RNA", at positions 29 to 518 of the family's 1533-position model. The record is from RNAcentral.
AUGAACGCUAGCGACAGGCCUAACACAUGCAAGUCAGGGGCAGCACAAGGAGCAAUCUGAGGUGGCGACCGGCGCACGGGUGAGUAACAUGUAUGCAACCUGCCUGUAAGCGGGGAAUAACCCGUUGAAAGACGGACUAAUACCGCAUAAUACUAAAUUACUGCAUGGUAAUUUAUUUAAACAUUUAUGGCUUACAGAUGGGCAUGCGCAUGAUUAGCUAGUUGGAGAGGUAACGGCUCCCCAAGGCAACGAUCAUUAGGGGUUCUGAGAGGAAGGUCCCUCACACUGGUACUGAGACACGGACCAGACUCCUACGGGAGGCAGCAGUGAGGAAUAUUGGUCAAUGGACGAGAGUCUGAACCAGCCAAGUCGCGUGCAGGAAGAAUGUCCUAUGGAUUGUAAACUGCUUUUGCAGGGGAAUAAAGUGCAUCACGUGUGAUGUUUUGUAUGUACUCUGCGAAUAAGGAUCGGCUAACUCCGUGCCAGCCGCCGC